CGCGUCGGACCCACCCCUUCCCAUCCCGAACAGGGCCGUGAAACGGCGCCGCGCCGAUGAUAGUGGGGGCCCGCCCCCGCGAAAGUAGGUCACCGCCAGGC
RNAcentral lists this ribosomal RNA (101 nucleotides) under Pelomicrobium methylotrophicum. Lineage: Bacteria; Pseudomonadati; Pseudomonadota; Hydrogenophilia. The record is from RNAcentral.